Molecule: non-coding RNA, 76 nt
Organism: Lethenteron reissneri (Far Eastern brook lamprey)
Lineage: Eukaryota; Metazoa; Chordata; Hyperoartia; Petromyzontiformes; Petromyzontidae
Source: the annotation of a RefSeq genome assembly
GCUGCCGUGGUGUAAUGGUUAGCACACUGGACUUGCAAUCCAGAGGUCGCCGGUUCGAUCUUCCGGCGCGGCUGUU